Molecule: long non-coding RNA, 2060 nt
Organism: Aquila chrysaetos chrysaetos
Lineage: Eukaryota; Metazoa; Chordata; Aves; Accipitriformes; Accipitridae
Exons: 4
Source: RefSeq, a predicted model, not a curated record
AGAGGAGGAAAAGAAAAAAGUUAAACCAACUCUAUCUAAACUCCUUGCAAAUCUCUAAAUAUAUUUUCUUCUGCUUAUUGGUUCUACUUUCAAAAAUCCCAUUCUGCUUUCUACGUUACAAUAAUACUCUCUUCUUGCCAUUAAUAUUGUGUUCAGUGAAAUGCUAAUAUUUUUCAGUUCACUGUCAGAGAGAACUAAAUCUACAGCAAGCUAAUCUGCCAUAAAGUCAUGUUUUAUACACAUGACUACAAAUUGAGUUUUACACUCCAUGGAAAGCAAUCUUCCAUCUUUAAGGGUAUCAUGAGACACAGAAUUAGAUCUAUUCUUCUGGCAUUACUAAAUCAUAAGACGAAAUAUAAUUUGACGUGCAAAUGAUAUUGUAAACCCAAGGCAAUGAAGCACUGAGAAUGUUUUUAGUACUAAACUUACUUGUUUGCUUAGUAUUAAGAGUCUUUUCAAGAAAAUUAGUCUCUAUUUAUAAUGGAAACAGCAUUACAUAAACUUUUUUUCCAUAACACAGGUCCUAGUCUAGAGAUUGAGAGCCUGUAUGAAUUUAUUUCUAAAUUAGGCAUCUGAGUUUAAACAUGUGUUUCUCAUCUUUUAAGUUCCGGAGAUGUGAGCCCUGGGAGUCUGUCACAACUACAACUUCUAUUUCAGAUAUUCAGAGUAACAUUUUCUGAAUCUGGAUGUCAUUUAGAGCUGCUUUCACUUGUCAAGAUUCCAAACAACUUAAAAAUAAACCAGCUAAUAUGUUUUUCUGCUUACACUGGGAACAGGUUUUUGGUCACUUGAUCUCACCGAAGCAAGCACAGGAGUAUUUUCAAAGUGCUUAUGGAGAUGCUUUCUUGGGUAAAAGGAGAUACCAUUGGAAGGAAGGAUUGUUAAGUGCUGCCUCCUCACAAUACAAGAUGUUAUCUUGGAAGAUAGAAAUGAUCCCUCCAGCAUUGCUCUGGCCACUUAUUUACUUGUAUUUAUAGUCCCAUCUUAGCAAGGCCUGGAGGGGGACCAGUUUCUCCUUGUAACCCUUUUUGUGCUUGAAUUCAAAAUGUCUUAAUACAGUGCUGUCCUCUCUCUUUCCAUCAACAGCUAAAGAGAUGCAAAGAUGUCCUGAUAUUCAUAUUCUGGCCUUGCUUAACUCUAUUCUUUGCCAGUUUAAACCCAUUAAUCCCAGUUUAAACCAGAAGGGUCACUAUCCCCUUUUGUACCACUAUAUUAGCAUAACAAAAAAAGAAAAGAAAGGGCUUUCUAAUGCCUUUUCAAGAUGCAAAAAGACAACAGCAUCAGAGUCAUGCCAUUCAAGCAAAACAAAUGUUGUCCUUCAGGACUUAUGUUGUCCAGGGUUGCUAUGAACCCUCUUGGUGUUUAUUCCUUUUCAACCCAGAUGGGGGGCAAGUUACACCAGGGCCACCUUCUACUCUACUGUGUUGACCUUCCUGCAUGUCACUGUUCUCUUCCGUACUUCCAGAAGAAGCAUCCACACUUGGAGCGUGUCUAUGGGGAAAGUGGCACGGUCCACUUUCACAGUGGAGAAGACUCCUUGCUCAGAGGCAGUCACGACACCCUGGGGAUAUCUACAGCAUUUGGAACACACAAGUAGUCAGGAUCAUGAUUCCACUGCGAGACAUAACCUAAGUUUCACAGAUGGGAAAAUUAAGGCACUAACGCUCAGGCUGAUUUCACUGAGCUACAGAAGCCUCGGUGGUUCAACAGGCUAAAGAAGAAAAAUUCCUAGAAAAUGUCUGCCUACUACUGAAGGAGGAAAAAGCAAAACCCCACUUGUGGGCAAUCCAAAGAGCAAGACAGUAUUGUGAAGUGCUGCAGAGUCUUUAAAGGGCAGUCGAAGAUUCAGAGCAAGAGCUUUGAGCCUGGUGCACACAGCUACUGAAACACAGAACGGAAGGGGAAACAGUCCUGGCUUGCUCAAACCUGCAGCACUACAAAGCUGGCUGGAAGCAUUAGUAAGUUUUGAUGUUUUGGGAUGCUUUUCUGUUAUUUUGUUUUUCUGUCUUUAAGUAUCAAAUACUACCUACACCCGCAGGCUAUGCUCAGCUUGAAUGCAA